ACUGGGUGUCUGGACCUAUAGAGUGUUGUUCCUUCUGCUGAGUUUCUAUCAUGAUCAGAAUGAGAGCACACAGGAGUCCAUGCAUGAUCUUAACAACUAGGCGGAGGCCCUGGGAGGGGAGCGGCGGGCGUCCAUCUUGUUCCUAUGUUUCACACUGGAGCACCUGCGCCAUCGCUGUCUGUCCUGACUGGACCAACCAAUUAUAGUGGAGCUCCUUAGCUCCCAGGAUACACCUCACCACCUCCCUGUCAGUCAAGGGCCAUGCCUCAGGACUACCUGGCAUGAUGACUCCUUGCUGUCCCCAGUCCACCUGGCCGUGCUGCUGCUCCAGUUUCAACUUUUCCGCCUGCGGCUAUAGAACCCUGACCUGUUCACCAGACAUGCUACCUGUCCCAGACCUGCUGUUUUCAACUCUCUAGAGAGUGGUAGAGAUACUCUCAAUGAUCGGCUAUGAAAAGCCAACUGACAUUUACUCUUGAGGUGCUGACUUGUUGCACCCUCGACAACUACUGUGAAUAUUAUUAUUUGACCAUGCUAGUCAUUUAUGAACAUUUGAACAUCUUAGCCAUGUUCUGUUAUAAUCUCCACUCGGCACAGCCAGAAGAGAACUGGCCACCCCUCAUAGCCUGGUUCCUCUCUAGGUUUCUUCCUCGGUUUUGGCCUUUCUAGGGAGUUUUUCCUAGCCACUGUGCUUCUACACCUGCAUUACUUGCUGUUUGGGGUUUUAGGCAGGGUUUCUGUACAGCACUUUGAGAUAUCAGCUGAUGUAAGAAGGGCUAUAUAAAUUGAUUUGAUUUGAUUUGAUGUUUGAAUCCCCGAGCUGACUAGGUGUAAAAUCUGUUCAUGUGCCCUUGAGCAAGGCACUUAACCAUAAUUGCUCCUUUAAGUCGCUCUGGAUAAGAGCAUCUGCUAAAUGACUCAAAUGUAAAUGUACUCAAUGGAGAGCAGUUUAAUGGAGUAAUACAUCUAAUCAAUUAUCAUUUUAGCUGCAGCGUAGGUUGUGUCUGAGUGGGUGGAGACCUGUGGAUGGGCAUAGAGUCAGUGUGGAUAGUCUGUGGGAGAGGAGCAGUAGUUGGCCAUUUAACAGUCUUAUGGCCAGGGGAUAGAAGCUGUUUAGGAGUCUGUUUGUCUGAGCCUUGAUGCACCAUUACCGCCUCCCGGACGGGAGCACGGAGAACAGUCCAUGUCCUAGGUGGCCUUUCUCAGACACUGCCUGGCAUGUACAUCCUGGAUGGCUGGGAGCUCGCCUCGGUGAUGUGCUGGGCCAUCUGCAACACGCUCUGUAGGGCCUUCCAGUUGCGGGCGGUGCAGUUGUCAUACCAGAUGGGGUGAUUACAACCAGUCAGGAUGCUCUCAAUGGUGCACCUGUAAAAUUUCCUGAGGAUCUGAGAGGCCAUGCCAAAUAGUUUCAGCCUCCUGAGGGAGAAGAGGCGUUGCCAUGCCUUCAUGAUUGUUCUGGUGGCACUAAAGAGAAUGACCAUGCUAGUAAGGGUAAAAAAGCCUAUAGCAUUCUCAACAUAUACUGUACAUGUAGAUGAUCAACUUACUCUAUCCCUCUCUCUUCCUUUCUUUGCCUGAGAAACUUAAGAGCUGAGACCUCCGGCAAACAAGCAGCAUUGUAUUGGCACAGUUACUUUGCUACAGUGCCAGUAUUUGAACAAGCUCCCUUGUGAUGUUCUCCCA
This 1683-nucleotide long non-coding RNA is filed under the name Salmo salar (Atlantic salmon). Its description in RNAcentral is "lncRNA (ENSSSAG00000094586.1)". Lineage: Eukaryota; Metazoa; Chordata; Actinopteri; Salmoniformes; Salmonidae. The record is from RNAcentral.